AGUAGGGAAUCUUGCGCUAAUGCGCGAAAGCGUGACGCAGCGACGCCGCGUGCGGGAUGAAGGCCCUCGGGUCGUAAACCGCUUUCGGCAGGGACGAAGCGAAAGUGACGGUACCUGCAGAAGAAGUCCCGGCUAACUACGUGCCAGCAGCCGCGGUAACACGUAGGGGACGAGCGUUGUCCGGAUUCAUUGGGCGUAAAGCGCGCGUAGGCGGCUCGGAAAGUCGGUCGUGAAAUCCUGGGGCUCAACCCCGGGACUGCGUCCGAUACUUCCGAGCUGGAGGUAGGUAGGGGAGAUCGGAAUUCCUGGUGUAGCGGUGAAAUGCGCAGAUAUCAGGAGGAACACCGGUGGCGAAGGCGGAUCUCUGGGCCUUACCUGACGCUGAGGCGCGAAAGCUAGGGGAGCGAA
This 408-nucleotide ribosomal RNA is filed under the name uncultured bacterium. RNAcentral's name for it is "bacterial SSU rRNA". It matches the Rfam family "Bacterial small subunit ribosomal RNA", at positions 353 to 772 of the family's 1533-position model. The record is from RNAcentral.